This 194-nucleotide ribosomal RNA is filed under the name uncultured bacterium. RNAcentral's name for it is "partial 16S ribosomal RNA". It matches the Rfam family "Bacterial small subunit ribosomal RNA", at positions 1307 to 1500 of the family's 1533-position model. The record is from RNAcentral.
GCAACUCGGCUGCAUGAAGCUGGAAUCGCUAGUAAUCGCGGAUCAGAAUGCCGCGGUGAAUACGUUCCCGGGUCUUGUACACACCGCCCGUCACACCAUGGGAGCCGGGAAUGCCCGAAGUCAGUGGCCCAACCGCAGGGAGGGAGCUGCCGAAGGCAGGCCCGGUGACUGGGGUGAAGUCGUAACAAGGUACC